GUGAAGCGGCAAAAGCUCAAAUUUGAAAUCCUUCGGGAAUUGUAUUUUGAAGGUGGGUUUGGUUAGGAAAAGUUACUUUAAGUCCAUUGGAAAAUGGCGCCAUGGAGGGUGAUAGCCCCGUAAAAGUAUCCCUUUUCCUUUUAUCCAUUCCCUCCAAAGAGUCGAGUUGUUUGGGAAUGCAGCUCUAAGUGGGUGGUAAAUUCCAUCUAAAGCUAAAUAUUGGCGAGAGACCGAUAGCGAACAAGUACAGUGAUGGAAAGAUGAAAAGCACUUUGAAAAGAGAGUGAAAAAGUACGUGAAAUUGUUGAAAGGGAAGGGCUUGCAAGCAGACACAACCUCGGUUGGGCCAGCAUCGGAGUGGGGGGAGACAAAAAAGAAAAGGAAUGUAACUCAUU
Molecule: ribosomal RNA, 395 nt
Filed under: Metschnikowia sp. IMB96R
Lineage: Eukaryota; Fungi; Ascomycota; Pichiomycetes; Serinales; Metschnikowiaceae
Description: eukaryotic LSU rRNA
Rfam family: Eukaryotic large subunit ribosomal RNA
Source: RNAcentral